RNAcentral lists this ribosomal RNA (199 nucleotides) under uncultured bacterium. Its description in RNAcentral is "partial 16S ribosomal RNA". It matches the Rfam family "Bacterial small subunit ribosomal RNA", at positions 328 to 539 of the family's 1533-position model. The record is from RNAcentral.
ACGCUCGACACCUACGAGAGGCAGCAGUUGGGAAUAUUGGACAAUGGAGGAAACUCUGAUCCAGUGACGCCGCGUGAAGGAAGAAGGUCUUCGGAUUGUAAACUUAUUUUGUCAGGGAAGAAAAAAUGACUGUACCUGAAGAAAAAGCACCGGCUAACUACGUGCAGCAGCCGCGGUAAUCUGAGCGGGCUGGCAAGGC